UAUAAUAACCUCCACUCUUCUGGGAAGGCUUUCCACUCGAUUUUGGAGCGUGGCUGUAGGGAUUUGUGCUCAUUCCAGCACAAAAGCAUUAGUGAGAUCAGGCACUGAUGUUAAAUGAGAAGGCCUGGGGUGCAGUCGGCAUGCCAAUUCCAUUCAGGUGUUCAGUGCGGUUGAUGUCUGGGCUCUGUGCAGGCCAUUUGAGUUCUUCCACAUCAACCUUGGCAAACCUUGUCUUCCUGGACCUCGCUAUGUGCACCGGGGCAUUUUUUAUGAUGAAACAGGUUCGGGCCCUUUAGUUUCAGUGAAGGAAAAUCUUAAUGCUACAGCGUACAAAGACAUUUUAGACUUGUGCUUCUAACUUUGUGGCAACAGUUUGGGGAAGACCCACACACACACAAGUGUGAUGGUCAGGUGUCCACAUACUUUUGGCCAUAUAGUGUACAUGUAAACCUCACGCUUCCACAUAAUACAGUAUGAUUGAUUCAUAAGGUAACAAUUUGAUCAUGCAAAUUUCAUUUACGAAUGAUUUAGAGAGUCAGUUUAAAUCAAUCACGAGUUUAAAAAAAUGUUACCUUUAUUAAAUCGUCAUAACAUCAAUCAUUACACCCCAUUCCUUUAGUUUCUGUACAUAAAUAAGGAAGCUGCUUUUGUCUUUUGUGGAUACGCCUAUUUUUAAUCCUGUUUUGGGGCCUGACUCAUUUGGCUUUGCUACCAGAACAUGUUCAUUGCUCUAUGCUGUACUUUUAAAUGUGUGAUACUGUGUUCAUUGUUGUUUUGAGAUUUCUUAUAAGCUAUCAACAUAUUCACAUUAAAUUACAGUAACUUUUGGAACCAUCCAAGAAAAGAAAGCAAUAAAGAAACACGUCCACUGCUUGAAAACCUUCAGCAGUCAUCUAGGUCAUUUUGAAUUGCCUGACUCGGCAAUCUGGAAUGGAGUUAAAUAAUUGAAAUCGGAUUUUUUUUUAUUUUUGGGUUCACCAAAUCCCAUACCUGUGAACUCAGGAUUCAAGAUUGUGUUUAGGGUUUUUCAAGCCCUGUUGCUUCGGGAGUUUCAAGUUUCAUUUCCAAGAAUUGCUGAUACUUGGUUUGCUUAUUUCAAUUUUAAAGAGUCAGGGUUGUGUGUUAACCAAAGUAAACAAGCACUCAAGAUUUUUUUCCCCUCAAAUUACCUUUUAAUAUGGAUCUAUAUCCAGUUUCAUCAUACCCAGAUUUAAAUGAACAAAAACUAAGGAAAUAUAACAGAACAUAGUAUUUUUAAUUGAUCGUGUAAACUAGUUUACAUUGCUCCAACUUCAGCAGACCAAUCACAGCUGGCAGACGGUAUUAACAAAGUUAGACUGUUAUGUCAGAAAAUUCUGUCAAUAAGAUCAAAUAGUUAUGAUCAAGUAACAGUGUGAUUUUAGCUCAAUUUUAUACCAAAUAUAUUUCACCUCUGUGCACAGACAUGCUUAUAUUAAUUUCUUAAUGAUAAAAAAAAAAAAAUCAUUGUACAAGUUAAUGUUCAUAAAUAUUUGAAGCAACAGAGUCAGGGGUAGUUAUUCUGUUACACUGAACUUAAUUAUUCUAACAGAAUUUUGGAUAAGUACAUUAGUUGAAGAUUUGCAUACAAUUUGGCACACAUUUUAACCAUAAUUUGCAUUCUUUAUAAAGUAUCUUUUUUUUCCUUUUAUCUGAUGAAUGGGCUGGUAGACAAAAAGGCUAAACAUAUAGCUGAAGGUAUUUUGUUCUCUUGCACCAAAAAAAAGAAGCACCAAUAGUUUUACACCCAAAAUUCAUUAAUCAGUGCAGUUAAGUGUUCAUCUCACAGAACGGAGAUAUAAUCGCUCACGUUUGCAUGAGAACUGAACAACACAGACAUGUGACUCACUAGACUGACUACAAUAUUGUUUUCCACAUACAGUACCCUCCACUAAUAUUGGCACCCUUGGUACAUAUGAGCAAAGAAGGAUCUGAAAAUUUGAUUUUUUUUUUUUUUGUUUAAAAAAAAAAAAACAACUCACAAAAAUCACUCUGCUCUCGUUGAUAUGAA
Long non-coding RNA from Ictalurus punctatus (channel catfish), 2029 nucleotides. The record is from Ensembl. NCBI's taxonomy places the organism in Eukaryota, Metazoa, Chordata, Actinopteri, Siluriformes, Ictaluridae.